RNAcentral lists this ribosomal RNA (502 nucleotides) under uncultured bacterium. RNAcentral describes it as "partial 16S ribosomal RNA". It matches the Rfam family "Bacterial small subunit ribosomal RNA", at positions 28 to 507 of the family's 1533-position model. The record is from RNAcentral.
GAUGAAUGCUGGCGGCGUGCCUAACACAUGCAAGUCGAGCGGCAGCGAGUUUUACACUGAAUUCUGGAAGCUUCUGAGUAGUACAGAAGAUUUAUUCAAGAGUUUUGUGUAAAAUGUCGGCGAGCGGCGGACGGCUGAGUAACGCGUAGGAAUUUGCCCCAAAGUGAGGAAUAACUGCCCGAAAGGGUAGCUAAUGCCGCAUAUGGUCUUCGGAUUAAAGCCUUCGGGCGCUUUGGGAGAAGCCUGCGUUGGAUUAGGUAGUUGGUAGGGUAAUGGCCUACCAAGCCGACGAUCCAUAGCUGGGCUGAGAGGAUGAUCAGCCAGACUGGAACUGAGACACGGUCCAGACUCCUACGGGAGGCAGCAGUGAGGAAUCUUCCACAAUGGGCGAAAGCCUGAUGGAGCAACGCCGCGUGAAGGAUGAAGGCCUUCGGGUUGUAAACUUCUUUUAUGAGUGAAGAAUAUGACGGUAACUCAUGAAUAAGCACCGGCUAACUACGUG